RNAcentral lists this long non-coding RNA (2054 nucleotides) under Gallus gallus (chicken). The record is from RNAcentral. Lineage: Eukaryota; Metazoa; Chordata; Aves; Galliformes; Phasianidae.
CAAAAAUCUGCUCUCCUUCCUUCUGCUCCUUGCUCCUUCUCAGGGUUAACUCCUGUCCUCUUCCCUCUAAAAGGAACUUUCUCUACAAGAGAAUCAGUUUAUCUCACUUUCCAGUGAGACUCUUCCCUGAGUAAUUCAAUCAGAGGACAUUCAGCUGCGUAUAACCCAGCUCUGUGGUGUGCUGUAUGAGUCAAUGCUGCUCCUGAAUGUCUCAAAGAUGCAUGCAUAUCUUCUUGCCAUUCCCAGGACACAAGUACCGUGGAGAGGCUUAGUAAUUUAUUUUUUUUCCAGAAAUCUCUUCUAAAUAGUCUGUCCACCUCAAGCAUGCUGCUCCACACUGCACUUAUGCAGUCCUGGGAGAGCAGCAGAGCAAGCGACAUCACUGCCAAGCUCAUCAGUGCUGCCAGCUUGUGCCAAGUGCAGAGCAGGUGCCAUCAGAGGAUGAACCUCACCCUCAAGAGGAGUUCUGCUGAAGCUGGCACACCCCAUUCUCUGGAGAUUUCUAGAUUGAUGAUGGAGGAAGCUGAAGGCAAUGUUUCAGACCAAACCUCCAACCUUUAAAAUCAGAACCAUUUCUGAGCUAGCAUGGCCCUGGAGAUGACAAGGGGAGAAACACAGCAGACUGGAGAGAGGCUUCCCUGGUGAGAGGAGAGCUGUGGUAGCCCUGGGGCUGUCAAGCAUGGCUCUGGCCCCAGAUGACAGGCAUUAUAUAUCAAUUUAGUUCUGGUGAAGGCUGCUCAAUUGACAGCCCUGGAAACCAGUGCUGUGUGCUUAUAAGCAGUCUGGGCAGAGGGCUGCAACAUGGAUGGCAGAAGCACAAACUUGCAGAAAUUGCUUGUCCAUCUCAAAACAGACUUCAAGCAUCUGGCUCCAUGGAGCACAGCCGAACUGCCCAGGCAGACAUGGUCUUCUGAGGUCUGAAAGCAACAGUGCCAAAGAACUGCUGAAGGAUUUCUACAAGAAGUCGCAUGGAAAUACUGCUGAGAAAUUGGUCCUUCCGAGGAUCAGAGGAGAUGAAGCAAAACUAACUGUACAAUUUUUCACAAGCUUUCCAAAUGCAUUUUUUGCAGACUAGUGAUGACUUUCAGCUCUUUCCACCCACCAGUAAUUCCGGUUUUAUAGAACAGUGGAGGGAAGGCUAAGGAGAAGCAAAGUUCAUUUCCCACUUGCAUCAUUAGUGAAAAAACAUUCCUGGAGCUUUUAAUAGCAGCUGUCAGCAUUAAAGCUCAUGGUGUACAACUCAGAGGUAGAUUCAUCUCUCCUGAACAAAUUUAAUUAACAAAGCUGCACUACAGCAACACACAAGUAGGAGUGAGCAGUUAACAGCUCCCAGUCUAAAGUAUGAAGCUUCCUGAAGAAAUACUGCUGAUUAAAGCAGUGCAGUGAAAAGUUCUUCACAUAUCUAAAUUUCUAUCACUGUCCCAAAGGUGGAGCAACGUACACCAGUGUCACCACCAGAGGACAGGGUAGUAUUAACCAACAUGAACCAUGAAUGAGCUGCUUCUUAUGACCAGUUGGAGCCUUGCAGGUAACAGCAGACAGAAGGGAUUGCGGGAAAGGGCAUGUGAGAGAAGCAAGUCAUCAAUAGCAAUAAAACUGAGUAUACCACUUCAAAAAUUGUGUGUGGAUAUACACAUACGACAAUACAUAUUUUAAAUGCAUCGUUGCAUUUGUUGGUGUUCAAAGAGCGUUUGGAUGUUGUGUUGAGGGACAUGGUUUAGCGAGAACCAUUGGUGAAGGACGAAUGGUUGGACUGGAUGAUCCUGUGGGUCUUUUCCAACCUUGGUGAUUCUAUGAUUCUAUGAUUGCAGCCAAAUUAUCUGUGCUUCUCAGGUCCGCUUGCUAUGCUCUUCAUAGAGCAAUGAAAUCACAGCAUUGUAAAUCAGGCUGCUGUCACUAGGUUUUAAAAUUAGAACAGUGCCUCCCACUCUCCAUUUUUUUACACCUGCCCAUAUGCUUUUAUACACAACAAUAUUCAAUUGUUUCAUCCUUCCCCCAAUCCAUCAGUGAUGUUCAGAGUUGUAUAAAAAAAAAAUUGUCUCGCUGCAAUAGGC